Molecule: unclassified non-coding RNA, 4890 nt
Filed under: Mizuhopecten yessoensis (Yesso scallop)
Lineage: Eukaryota; Metazoa; Mollusca; Bivalvia; Pectinida; Pectinidae
Description: serine/arginine-rich splicing factor 7-like, transcript variant X1
Source: RNAcentral
AACACCAGAUAUUCUCUAUUAAAUUAAAAAGUCAAAAUCAUCUAUGAAGUGCUCUUCGCGCGAGACACAGACAUCGACAAGCUCUUUGGAAAUGCCGAGAACCAAAGUAUAUGUUGGAGGUCUCGUGGAUGAUGUGGGGAACGACCGGCUUCAUAGAACGUUUGAAAAAUUUGGAAAAAUCAAGAAAGUUUGGGUCGCUCGGAAUCCUGGUUCAAGAGGUUAUGCUUUUAUUGACUUUUACGAUCCUGAACAUGCCCUUAAUGCCUCCGUAGAAAUGAAUGGAAAACAUCUGUUUGGUUCAAAUUUAAAGGUUGAAUUGUCUAACAACGGUAUUGGGGACUUCAACAUAUCAGAGAGACAUCGGAGUGACCGUCACCAUGACGAUCGAAGGGCUGUCCGGGACUAUGAUGACCGGAGAGGCGAUCGGGACCGAGACAGACGACGGGUUGAUCGAGACCAUGAUUACCGAUCUAGAAGGUCUCCUCCCUCGUAUUACAAGAGUAGGUCGACUGACGAAGAUGAUGACGACAGUCGGCUUCUCAGUCACGUAGAUCCGACAGCACUACCACGAACCAUUAACGUACUAAAACAGCUAGAGAGAGUGACUCGGCUGAGACUUGAACGAGAACUAUUAGAAAAAUUUCGUCGUUCUUCUGAAGUACUAUCAGAUAUUGACACAAAAGACAAACUGUGCUAUCUCUCACGAGAUUUUGAGGAAAGUAAACACAUUCCUUAUUCUUCUCGCAAGAGAGAACCAGUGAAUGGUGAUCCGCUGCUGACAUCAACCGAUCCCGUCUUCCGAGAUCAUCAUAUUCCGCCUCUGGAAAAUGAGAGACCAAUACUGAUUGACCCAAAGCCAGAUACAUUCUACACACAGUUUUCAAAUAACCCAAGAGGACAUUCCCGGUCUCUUUUACCAACGCCUGACUAUCCAAAGUUAAAGAACUCCGAAAAUUAUCCGUCAUUCCAUGGAAAUCCACACAUUCCCCCAUGGCAUAACCCUAAUGAAUACAUCAGAACACCAAUGUAUAGACGACCUCGGCCUUAUGGCCAUGUGCGAAAGUACAAUGGUGAUUACCACAAUGACUGGUAUGGCAAGCAAUAUAGCGGCUUUGGAUUUUUACCCAACUCUACUCGAUCAUCGGCGAAUAAAGAGCCCAAUACUCCCCACUUCAAGUUGGUACCUCCCGAAGCACCACCCGCCAAGGAACCCGAGUCAAGUGAUAUCGUCAAUACUUCGUAGACAGAUUCUCUACAGAGGUGAAUCCAUCCCUUUACUCUUCAGAGACAGUGACAGAACCAAGCGUAAUGGGCUUUUUUCCCUGAGGACCAAGAACUCCUCGGAAGAGACUUCAGAUUUGGAAGGUCUGAAUGUGAAACAACCAGGCAUGCGUCCUACAAUCACAGAUCAACACCCGCCAUAUGGUGUCCACAACACUGGUAUACUCUACCACAGACAACAAUACACACAGCUGUAAAUAACCAUCAACAAUGAAUACACGGGGAAAAAUCGAACAUUAUUACGUUCAGACAACAACAAAAGCAAGGAUGAUCGAAACAACAAAGAUCUUCCCACAGAUAAAAGCAGUGAGAUAGACACUAGUGCAAAAUGACCCAGUGUUCACAACCGGUAAUGCAUGAACAGUUCAUUAUAUUUCAAAUCAAUUUUAUUGAAGCAAAUACACAAAAGGAUUGGACAAAGAAAUUACCAUCAAAGCCAUUUCCGUAAGGAAAACAUACAUUUCGAACAUGCAUGUAUAUGAGAUACUUGUCCACGUACAUAGAGUAAGUCCAAAAUCAGUUAGCUCGGAUAUUAUACAUACACAAAUAUAUUAAUAGUUGGAUCACAGAGACUAACAUAUAUGCUCUAGCGUCUAGUUAGAGGCUCAUUAAAGUCACUGUCACUACACAUAGUGACAUUCUAACCUAUUACACUAGAAUUACAUAAACUGAAUGAUAAAUAAGGUGAUUUGAUGUACCGUACAUGUUAAAAUCUUCCAGAUUUCGUUUCAAUUUAUUCAAGGCCGCAAGAAAAAGUAAAUUGAUUUGCUUCAAUGCCAAGAUUCAUAUCUCCUUUAGUGAGAGUAUUAGAGUCUAGGAUGGUGAAAUAAACAGUUAAGGAAGAGGUGACUUGCAUCUUUAAUGACAUUACCACAAUUACAAUUAGGGUUAUCAGUAAAAUGAUCCUUAUAUUGAUCCGAAGUAUCUCAUAAAUACACUGAAGAUUACCACGCCUGUUUAGGUAUCAAAGUCAACUCCUUUAUACAUUGAGCUAUGACUGGUAUCUCUUCUCAAAUCUGAUAUAAUUUUUUACAUUCUAAUCACACUGAUUUUAGUAUAUCACUUUCACAUUGUCCGCAGUCAUUACAGUCGAGUUAUGAAUAAAUUCAAGAGACUUUCUAUCUUAACUGUGUUUGAGCAAUCGUAUUAUUUGUCGUUUUGUACAACCCUUUUCAAACAUAUAAUUACAUUUUAUAUGAUAUUAUCGUGAUGAUCCACAGCUAUUCAAAAACAAAUCAACAUGCUUAAGAUUUGGAAUUUUAAAUUUUAAAUUUAUAACAACAAUAUAAGAGGAUGACAAAUUGGGGUGAGCAGUCUCAGAAUUAGUUUUGUUGUAUAAUACGAAUGAUUCAGUUUUAUUUGGGUUAAAUCUUAUAUCUAUUUACCUUGCAAAGUAUACAUUCAAAACAAAAAGAGAGGUUUCAUCAGCAAAGAGUUUGACAUUAGAGUGAAGGUGACCUUCUAUGUCAUUAAUAUACUUGAAAUAAAGGUCCUAGUACUGAGCCUUGGGGUACUUAGGGUUGCACGAAAUGUUCGCAUAUUUGACUUGUAACUAUCAGUUAAUAAUUACAAGUUCCAUACCUUUUAAUUUGUCAGUUAUUCCACUGUCAAACCCUGUCAAACCCUGUCAAACGCUUUUACUGAUGUCACAAAAUACUAUCUUAGCCUCUUUACCUUUAUCAAGGUAUUGAAGCUUCGUCAUAAUACGAGAGUAAUAGAUUAACAGCUGAGUCUUUGGCAAUCAAGCCAGACUAAUUCUUUGAGAUUAUUUUAUUCUCAGAUAGAAAAUUAAAGAGAUAUGUAUUGGGGUUACGGGGUUACAUAAGCACACUACCCUUUAUAAAACAUGGAGGGAGUUAUAGGGACCAGCAGGCUGGAUCAUUGCCACCACUAUCUUCAAUUUGAGUGAAUAAAUUUGCUCAGCUUCUCCCAUAAGCCUAUAAUUUACCAAGUUAUUUUCCAGGCUACAAUUGUAUUGGCAUUUUUGUCCUUGCAUGUUGAGGAUUUCUUUUUUCUUAUGUGUAAUUAAAUGUCAUUAUUCAUCCAGACUUUAUCGUUUGGGUGAAUACUAUCACCUAUAUUUAGUACAUAUUUUUCAAUACAAUUAUGAUUUUCGCUUGAAAGAAUAUCAGUCAUAGUUUCUAGAUCAAAACUUUCAUCCAGCAAGUUAUCCCAAUCGGUGUUGAAUAGAUGUUUCACUGAAAUACAUAAAAAAAUAUAUCAUAUUAAGAGUUUUGAAGGAUCUAUUUACUAAUUGGACAGCAGUCAAUACAAAUUAUAUUGAUACAUGGAUUAUUUACUAUAUAAGUAUUAUUAGUCAUAAUUAUACCAAAAGAUGAAGAGAAGAAGAGGUAGGAGUAAUUCUUGUAGGUUCAUAUAUAAUAUUGGUUAUACCAAAAUUAGUCAUCUGCAAGACAAACAUACUGUGUGGUCAGACAAACAAAACGACAUUCUUGCUAGUAAGUGCUAGCGAACAGGUGUCUUCACGUAAGGACCGUAUACAUAUCGUGUAGCCUUGAAUCAAUUACUCUGUUACCAUUUACUAGAUAUGCAUUUUAGAAAAGAAACAGAAUUAUAUAAUAAAUAUUCUCAUUUACAAUACCAGCCCUAAUGCAAUAAAAUGUCUUACUUCACAAACAAAUUAUAUUCGAGAAUAUGUUUAAACGUUCAUGAAACACUUCCAGAGCAGCAUCUGGUUUCUCCAGUUUUUUUGGAUUCUGGUUUUUCCUUUUCUUCAUAUUAGGGUUGUCAACAUGUUUGCGUGUGUAAUCGAGGAAUAUAUAUAACGAGGAUGAGAAAAUAAAGGACAAAAACAAUUAAUGGAGGCAGCUGUGGUUCAAUAUAUGCGAAUCCUGAAGUAUAUUAUUAUAUCCAACCAUAAUAUACGUUUACCAAAUAAAACAUGUUUGAAUGGGUUUCCGUGUCUACUUAGAAUCUAUACGGUAACAUGAUAAUAUAUAGUAACUUAAAGCAGGGAUUUUGUGAGCCCAAACAUUUAGCCAGUGAUGACUCGUUAUUACUUCCUAACAAGCCGAUUUCACAGCCAAUGUCAUGAUAGUAACAUCCCUGCUUCCCCUACCUAAGGUGUUUACAUGUCACAGUUGAUUGGGCAUUCAAGAGCUUGCUUCGACCUCUGUUAUAGAUACGACUGAUUAUGGACAAACUUACAACACAUGAUUUCCAAAUAUGUAGGUUGAUGAAGUCUAUAGCCAUGAUGAAGCAGAAGACGAGUACCCUGCCUGAACACCUGGUCUUAUUCUUCUUGCACGUUUUCAAACGUCUCCAUCACAAAUCUUCCCCUGUCAUUGCCCUAGUUUCCUCAACUUUGAGUAACAAAUUAUGUCUUUUAACCCCUGCAGCCAUUAGUAAUGCUAAACCAGUUUAAUGUCGAUGUAUGUGUAUGUGCACGCGUGUACCUUCAUUCAACAACCUUAUUAGUCCAAGACCAGUCACACAUGACUCACUUGUUCACACUUCCAAUGGAAGGCUACUGGAAAAGUAUUGAACGCAUUUUUCUUUUUACAAUUACUAUACAAUGAGUUGAAACCAUAGUAGAUUUUCAUUUAAUCACAUUUUAUUGACAAGAUUGCAUAGUCAAUUGUAUAGAAU